UACAGAGGGGGCAAGCGUUGUUCGGAAUUACUGGGCGUAAAGGGCUCGUAGGUGGUCAACUAAGUCAGACGUGAAAUCCCUCGGCUUAACCGGGGAAAUGCGUCUGAUACUGGAUGGCUAGAGUUUGGGAGAGGGAUGCGGAAUUCCAGGUGUAGCGGUGAAAUGCGUAGAUAUCUGGAGGAACACCGGUGGCGAAGGCGGCAUCCUGGACCAACACUGACGCUGAGGCGCGAAAGCUAGGGGAGCAAACGGG
This 253-nucleotide ribosomal RNA is filed under the name uncultured bacterium. RNAcentral describes it as "partial 16S ribosomal RNA". It matches the Rfam family "Bacterial small subunit ribosomal RNA", at positions 524 to 776 of the family's 1533-position model. The record is from RNAcentral.